GACGAACGCUGGCGGCGUGCUUAACACAUGCAAGUCGAGCGGUAAGGCCCUUUCGGGGGUACACGAGCGGCGAACGGGUGAGUAACACGUGGGUGACCUGCCCUCAGCUCUGGGAUAAGCCUGGGAAACCGGGUCUAAUACUGGAUAUGACUCCAUGACGCAUGUUGUGGGGUGGAAAGCCUUGUGCGGCUGAGGAUGGGCCCGCGGCCUAUCAGCUUGUUGGUGGGGUGAGGCCUACCAAGGCGACGACGGGUAGCCGGCCUGAGAGGGCGACCGGCCACACUGAGACUGAGACACGGCCCAGACUCCUACGGGAGGCAGCAGUGGGGAAUCUUGCGCAAUGGGCGAAAGCCUGACGCAGCGACGCCGCGUGAGGGAUGACGGCCUG
Molecule: ribosomal RNA, 388 nt
Filed under: uncultured bacterium
Lineage: Bacteria
Description: bacterial SSU rRNA
Rfam family: Bacterial small subunit ribosomal RNA
Source: RNAcentral